This 100-nucleotide small nuclear RNA is filed under the name Rhinolophus ferrumequinum (greater horseshoe bat). The record is from RNAcentral. Lineage: Eukaryota; Metazoa; Chordata; Mammalia; Chiroptera; Rhinolophidae.
GUGCUCACUUCAGUGGCACAUGUACUAAAAUUGGAAUGAGAGAUUAGCAUGGCCCCUCAUCAAAGAUGACACACAAAUUUGUGAAGUGUUACAUUUAUUU